RNAcentral lists this long non-coding RNA (2816 nucleotides) under Marmota monax (woodchuck). Lineage: Eukaryota; Metazoa; Chordata; Mammalia; Rodentia; Sciuridae. The record is from RNAcentral.
GCCUAUCUCUGCACCUAUAACUUUAAAUGAUUUUUCUGUGAAUCUGUCAUAUCAGUUUAAUUCAUAUACCAGCCAGAGAAGCUGAGAGUGUAGCAAUACACAAAUUAAGAUACAAAUUAACAUUUAUGAAUUUAAAUGUUAAUUUUCCUCCCUGAGCAAGACACAAAUUAACAUUUAUGGAUUUAAAAUAAAACGGAAGCAGAAUAAAACCUAAAUCAUUCCCAGCCACUGGCUGCAUGGGCCCAGCCGCCCUUCCUGGGAAGCACUCCCUGAAUCCCGUCCUGUGGAGCUGGACCUUCCUAGCGAGUUCUUCUCUCCCACCCUUCUUUGGGGAGCAUCUACAAGGAGGGCUUUCCCCUAGGUGCUGCUGCCUCCCCAUCUGAGGACUUCACUGCUUUGCAGGUAGGCCCCAGUGGAAGACCCUCAGGAGCAGUGUCCCACAGGGAGCCCAACGGUAGCUGUCUUCGGUGGCAACUCACUUCUUUCUGUGUUGACAGUGUGUUCUGCGCCUUUCUAGCAGGGACUCCUAAGGUCCACUUGCACACCAGGUGGCAUCAGCCCUCUUGAGGUGUUUGUCCACCCCCAUCCUUUUUCCCUGUUGCAGUAGUAGGCAGGUACUAGAGAGGAGCAGAGCCUGUAGGGGACAUGGAAGAGAUUUAUAUAAAGAAUUGACUCACACAGUUUGGGAGCAGGAAGUCCACGAUCUGCCCUCUGCGCCUGGAGUCAGAGAAGAGCCUGCAGUUCAAAGGCCAGAGAGCCAAAGAGCCACACCCAAGGGACAGAGGACGUGGAGCAGGGGCUGAGUGAGUUCAGUCCUCCUCCCCUUUCUGCUUCCUUCAGGCCCUCGCACGCACACUGGCUGACGCAUGCACGCACACUGGGCAGAGUGGGCUGCCUUCCCCCAGUGCCAACGCCAGGAGAACCUCCUCAGAAGCAUGCUCACGGUCACAUCCAGAAAUAACAUUUAACCAGCGGUCUGGGCCCCAGGGCCCAGUCAACCUGAUCUAUGAAAGUAGCCGUUGCGAGUCCACCCCCCAACUUGACCAACUUGACACCCAGGUUGGUCUCCCUAAGCCACACUUAACCUCCCAAUAAAGACAAUAACAAGGCUACAAUUCCGCCAGACCUGACAGAACUAUCAGAACUGUCUGCACACAACCAAAAAAUGUCCGGAAGAGGAGAUGAAGUCCCAGCCCCAUGACCACUUCUCCUUGACAUUCCCCAGCUUAAGUACCAUGAUGAGAAAUCAGUGAUACACAGGAGAGUGAUCUGAAGUCAGUAUACCUUAUGUUACAUGAAAAGGGAAUGAGAAAGUGCAUCUGAGAAAUCACACAUACACGCACGCAAAAUGUAUUCAGAACAAACUAAGAACAACCAAUCGUCUGGGUCCUCCUUUCUGUAACUGGCCACAUGGUGGGAGCUGGAAUUUAUGGCUACCUUGCCCUGCCCCUCCUGCUAUCCCUUUGUCUUCAGCACGCCGCUUACCUGGAUGGGUCACCUACACCUUAAUCACUGAAGGGCCUGGGACAUCAGAAUCGUGCCCAGGUUGGGUGGUUACGGUUUUCCCUUGACCUGAGUCACAGCAUGGGGGAACUAAGAAAUGCCCCAGGGACUCAUGCGCCAGACACCUGCUCCUUACUUCCACAGUGGAGCAGCAGUGUAGCCUCUCUGUGGUAGUCAGGGUCGACCAGCCCGACCACUACCGCAAUUCUCUUUGCCAGUUGUCUCACAGGCAUGGGGAGUCCACAACGGCCAGUGGCAGUCUUCAAUUCUGGUCUAAUGGAAUCCUUAUUGUGUCUCCUGGUGGAAGCACUUCUCCCUCGGAGUGAAGCCCUCUACGUCAGCAGAGAAUAAACUCACGUGAGCAGGAAGCAAACAUUUCACUAGUGGGCCAUUGGACAUAAUAGUGACUAAUGCCACUCCCGUUUCCACCCCUUGAUUCCUGGUCCUGUGAAUCCCAGCAAGGGGAGAAACAGCGCUAUGUAGGGGACACUGAUCCAGGGCACACACAGCCUUGUGGGGAACCUUGGCCCUGCUCCGCAAGGUUGUACCUGCCAGAGGCCUCCACAACUGGGUCUUCGAAGGCCGUCCACCAUCCUAUCAAGGGCUGCCCAGGAUGGUGGGGAACAUUGUAAGGCCAGUGAGUUCUAUGAGCCAGGCUCCAUGGCUGCACUUCUUUGGCUGAGAAGUGAUUUCCUUGGGCAGAAGCAAUGCCAUAUGGAAGAUCAUGGCUGUAGGAAAGACAUUCUGCAGAUCCCCAGAGGGUGUCUCCAGCAGAAGCACUGUGUGCAGGCAAGGCAGAUUGCCUGUCCCAGUAAGAACAAACGCCGUCCCUUCCACGAUGGAAUCCAUCCAAUGUAACCAUCCUGCCACUGGGUAACCGGCAGAUCGCUCUGGAAAUGGUGCCAUAUCAGGGACUCUAUCUCUGCUGCUGGCAGGUGGAUGCUUAUUGGUGACUAUAACCAAGUCACCAUUGGUGAGUGGAAGUCCAUAUUGCUGAGCCCAUGUAUAACCCCCAUCCCUGCCACCAUGACCACUUUGUUCAUGAGCCCCUUGGCAGGAACAGGGGUGUCUGGGGAGGAGGCUAACUGGUAUCUACAGGAUGGGUUAUCCUAAUCCACUUGGUUAUUUAAGGUCAGUCACAUAUCUCUUCCCCAAAUCGGUUUGUCGACAAUUUUUCAAUUCAAGUCCCUCCCCACCCUGCCAAACCACUGCCUGUAGCCCGCCAGUGGGUAUAGAACCUCAUGUCUGGACAUCUCUGAGGGGUGCACAGCCAGGCGCACUGCUCAGCCUGCGGCCCUCAGGGAGGAUUUCUU